RNAcentral lists this long non-coding RNA (227 nucleotides) under Ornithorhynchus anatinus (platypus). RNAcentral's name for it is "lncRNA (ENSOANG00000044316.1)". The record is from RNAcentral. Lineage: Eukaryota; Metazoa; Chordata; Mammalia; Monotremata; Ornithorhynchidae.
CAGUGCCCUUUAAUCACUGACCCCAUGUGAGUCCUGUCCACAUGAUCACACCCACGUGGGAUUGUGGAGAGACGGCACCAGUGGAGCUGGGGCAGAGAGGGACUCUGCUCUCUGGAGUGCUGUUUUUGUUGGGCACUGUUGAAACCUAAAUGGGCAUGGUGCUAAGACAGCUGGAGAAGCAACUGGCUUGAGAAGGAAGGAAGUGAAACCUGUGCGGUCUGAGACUG